GAUAAGAUAUCGAGGAAGGAAAUAUCAUGAAUUCAUUAAAAGUGUAAAAUUUAUCAAAUUGUUGAAGUCAUUGAUAAAAUAUGGAGAUGGUAUUAAAUAUAUAUCUAAAUACCUAACAAUAAGAAAGUAUUGAACAAAAAGUCAAUAUAAUAUCAAAAAAAUUGGCAAAUAUAAGGUAAAAAUUCGAUUCUAUUUUAAAAAAAAAAAAAAGAAAGUGUAAAUUUUGAGAUAAAAUAGACAGAUUAACAAUUUAAUACUGACAAAGGAAUUACGUUUGAGCAGAUCAAGAAUGAGAGCAUCGAUUUGGUCUUGUCUUUUGUCAUGGUAGGUUUUCCUCUAUUUUGAGGGGUGUGGAGUGGUUGUGUGUUGUUAGGUGCUUGGUUUUGUGAGGUAUGGCAACAAGGAGUAAUUUUCAGCGGUGGAUAAGUAGUUGACGAUGGGAUAUUCAGGGUAACUGGCGGCAUCCCACAAUUAUAGGGAUAUGGAAGUUAUGAUGGACAGGUGGGGGAUAAAGGGUCACUGAAUCAUGGGAGAGGAGAUAGGGUCAUUAUGAGGCCUGAAGUCGUGGGAAUAAGACUUUCCAAGAAUGAAGGGAUAUCGAAUGAGGAAGAGGCGAGAAAUGAACGUGAUAUUCAAAGGGAGGGGUUGACUAUAAUAGAGUUGAAAAGGAGAAGGACAACUAAUGACUUAGUCCUGGGGUCAACUACUGAUGUGGAUAUGGAUCAAUAUGAAGUUGGACUUCCAAAAAACUUAGUUGGGGCAGGCCUUGGCAAUCAGGCCCACCCGGAGACAUGAGUACACUCAGUUGGAUGAUGUGGGCUUGAGAACCCACGGGCCCAACAAUUCUUAAAGGACAUGGUUGUUCAAAAGAAGCUUAGAUUUAUUUUCUUUUUAGUGAAACAAUUUGUAAAAGGAAACAAUGGAGAGGAUACGGCUGCAGCUGGGUUUUCAGGGUAUGGUGAAUGUAGAUGCGCAAGGGCAUAGCGGGGGUGUUGUGAUGUUGUGGAGAUUUAAAGAAUAUGCUAAACUUCCUAAUCAUAUAGAUAUGGUCAUUAGGGUGGAAGAGAUGAUUGAGUGGCACCUCACAGGGUUGUAUGGAGAGUCGAAUAUGAGGCAUCAUACAUGGGAGCUGUUUCGUAAGCUACAGAGGAAGUCGAAUCUCCCCUAGUGCGUGAUAGGAGAUAUGAAUAACAUCUUAAGCCAAGAAGAUAAGUGUGGAGGAAGACCCUACCCAAACUGGCUGCUUGAAGGCUUCCAGAGAGUUUUAGCUAAUUGUGAGUUAUUUGAUUUGGAAUUAGUUGGGUACCCUUACACGUGGGAGAAGGGUAUCGAAACUAAUCAGUGGGUGGAGGUGAGGUUAGAGUCUUGGAGAGACUCUUUUCUCUCAGCUAAAUUAUUUAACUUGGAGGUCUCAUCAUUGGAUCACUGUCCUAUUUUUUUGGACCUAAUUGACCAGCAAAUUUUUCUAUCGGCUUCAAACUUUAAGUUUGAAAAUGGUUGGCUUCGUGAGCCAAUGUGUCACCAGCCGGUUACAGAAUGUUGGGAGGUAUGUCGACAUCUAGAUACAAGGCAAGUUGAAUUAUUGCAGUGAGGUGUUGACAAAGUGGGGAAAGGAAAUAACAUGAAAUUUUAAGUAAAGGUUGUUGAGGUGUAAGAGAGUGAUAAAUGAGACAAAAGGAAGGUGGGAAGUAGAUUCUUUGCAAAGAUAUAGUGAUUCAAACAAGAACCUUUUUGAGAUGCUAACGCAGAGGGAAGUUUUCUGGAAGUAAAGAUCAAAACAAUUAUGGCUCAGAGAAGGGGGUCAAAAUAGCAAGUUUUUCCAUGCUACUGCGAGUGCUUGUAAGCAAAACAAUCAAAUUCAGAAGUUACAAGGAGGGAAUGGUAGCUAGUGUGAUUGGGAGAGUGGGCUAUCAGAUGUUAUGGUUAACUAUUUUUGGGAGCUUUUUCAGGCUUCCGAGAGGGAAUGGGCAGAGGUGUUGGGCUGUAUCCAACCUUCUAUCACGACAAUUCAGAAUGAAGAUCUUCUUUGGUCUGUCUCAGAUGAGGAAGUAAAAGAGGCCAUUUUUCAGAUGCAUCCUAAUAAAUGUCCUGGUCCAGAUGGGAUGAGUCCAUGUUUCUACCAGAAAUGUUGGGACGUGGUGGGGAGAGUUGUUGUGGAUUUAGUAAAAGGCUCUUUUAAUGAUGGACUGCUCCCUGUGAAGAUGAAUGACACGAAUAUAGUCCUCAUUCCGAAGAAGUAGAAUCCAGUCACUAUGGGGGAGCAUAGGCCGAUUUCAUUGUGCAAUGUCUUGUACAAAGUGUCUUCGAAGGUGCUGGCUAACAGGUUGAAACAGAUGCUCGAUCAGGUAGUGUUAGAUUCUCAAAGUGCUUUCAUUAUAGGUAGACUUAUCACUGAUAAUAUAAUGGUAUCUUUUGAGAUAAUGCAUUAUCUGAAAAGGAAGAACAGAGGAAAAGCGGGUGUUGACGCGGUUUUUCGCCAACAGUGAAUUAAGAAAAUAACAAAGGUUGAUUAGUGCUUGAUAAUAAACUGAAAAUAAGAAAUGAACUCUCAAGAA
This is a long non-coding RNA of Humulus lupulus (European hop), 2555 nucleotides long. RefSeq lists it as uncharacterized. The record is from RefSeq and is a predicted model, not a curated record. NCBI's taxonomy places the organism in Eukaryota, Viridiplantae, Streptophyta, Magnoliopsida, Rosales, Cannabaceae. The transcript is spliced from 2 exons.